Molecule: ribosomal RNA, 484 nt
Filed under: uncultured bacterium
Lineage: Bacteria
Description: partial 16S ribosomal RNA
Rfam family: Bacterial small subunit ribosomal RNA
Source: RNAcentral
AUUGAACGCUGGCGGCAUGCCUUACACAUGCAAGUCGAACGGCAGCGCGGACUUCGGUCUGGCGGCGAGUGGCGAACGGGUGAGUAAUACAUCGGAACGUACCCUGUUGUGGGGGAUAACUAGUCGAAAGAUUAGCUAAUACCGCAUACGACCUGAGGGUGAAAGUGGGGGACCGCAAGGCCCCACGCAGCAGGAGCGGCCGAUGUCUGAUUAGCUAGUUGGUGGGGUAAAGGCCCACCAAGGCGACGAUCAGUAGCUGGUCUGAGAGGACGAUCAGCCACACUGGGACUGAGACACGGCCCAGACUCCUACGGGAGGCAGCAGUGGGGAAUUUUGGACAAUGGGGGCAACCCUGAUCCAGCAAUGCCGCGUGUGUGAAGAAGGCCUUCGGGUUGUAAAGCACUUUUGUCCGGAAAGAAAUCGCGCUGGUUAAUACCUGGCGUGGAUGACGGUACCGGAAGAAUAAGCACCGGCUAACUACGUG